RNAcentral lists this ribosomal RNA (164 nucleotides) under uncultured bacterium. Its description in RNAcentral is "partial 16S ribosomal RNA". It matches the Rfam family "Bacterial small subunit ribosomal RNA", at positions 355 to 511 of the family's 1533-position model. The record is from RNAcentral.
UAGGGAAUCUUCCACAAUGGGCGCAAGCCUGAUGGAGCAACACCGCGUGAGUGAAGAGGGGUUUCGGCUCGUAAAGCUCUGUUGUUAAAGAAGAACAUGUAUGAGAGUAACUGUUCAUACGUUGACGGUAUUUAACCAGAAAGUCACGGCUAACUACGUGCUAG